Long non-coding RNA from Limulus polyphemus (Atlantic horseshoe crab), 2031 nucleotides. RefSeq lists it as uncharacterized. Lineage: Eukaryota; Metazoa; Arthropoda; Merostomata; Xiphosura; Limulidae. The transcript is spliced from 5 exons. The record is from RefSeq and is a predicted model, not a curated record.
UCAAGGUUCAAAAAGAUGAAGCAAACAGAAUAGUAACCCAUUUAGAAAGUGAAUUAUCAAAAUUGAAAGAAUUCCAGCUACAUUCUGAACAAGAAUACAAGGAACUUUUGAAUUUUGUAACAUACCAUAUUGACCUGAUGGUUGGAAUGUUUACAUUAAAAUCUGCAGAAACAUUUGAGGCUUUGUCUCUCUGCCCACAAGUUAAGGAACCAAAGUAUCAAGUUAUGGAAAUUAAAAGUAAGAUGAUGUGGAUUGUUGAGGAAGCAAGAGUUCUUAAUCUUGAAGAGCUUCGGCGAAAGAAAAGAAAGGAUCAACAGACAAGUGAUAAAUAAAUAUACAUUAUAAGUUAUUUUAAUGGUUUUAGUUAAUUAUAUCUGCAUUUUUCAAUUAAUAUCUCAUCAAACAUAAUUUAGAUUUAGUGGCAUUGAACUAUUUAUAUUCAUUAUCCGUCCAAUUUAAAAAUUAUGAAAUAUCUUAGUCAUCAUACAUGUUUUUAUAAAGCAUUUUUUAUGUAAAUUAAUACUUCAAUUUUUAUGGUUGUGAAAAAUUCUGUAAUGUAAAAGUUCCUGUGUUUUGUGAACAACAUAAUAUUUUGGACAUAAUACAAUAUCUGAUUUGCACGUUUUGUAAAAAACAAAUGAUAUUAUCAAAAAUGUAAGUUGAAGUAACUUCACAGUACUUUGACUACUUACAAUCAUUGUUCUACACAUUUUUACCAUUUUUUAUAAUAAAUUGUAGGAAAAGAAAUGUAUUUACUUUUGUAUAUAGAAGCCUUAAUGAGUCAGUGGGCACUUAUUCAUUGUUGGUAAGUGAUAUAUGCAGUGAUUAUAUAGAUGUUGCUUGAUUACUUUAUAUUCAGUAAUAUUACAAUGAGAUGUCAUGAGUCAUAGGAAAAUUUCAGAUAUAGUUGUCACAGCAGAUGGACAGCUGAAGAAAUUAAAUGACAGCACAUAACUAGAAGGGAUUCACAGGUGGAAGAAACUAUCAAUAUUGCCAAGGAAUAAUGGGAAUGUAAUAAAUGCCUAGUUUUCUCGUUCAUUAUGCUACUUAGGACAAAGUAUGUUCUUAUUACUAAUAGAACUUUUCCCCUCAUCACACACCCAGAAUUUUUAUGAAAUGACUCCACUACAUUAAUCUUAAGCUGGUUAUAUGACAAAAAGUUAUAUAGUACCUUGAUUUCAAAUUUUAUAUAACAAAAUUGUAUCCGUGAAAGGGUAUAGUUUUUAUAUAAUGAAUUUGAUAGUUUAUGUAAAUACUUGAAGGAAAAUGGUCUCUGCAGUUAAUGACCCUGAAGAAACAGGAGACUUUUAUACAGUUAAAGUAAUAAAGUUUGUGGUUGGUCAGUUAUUAAUAACUUUUGAACUUAAGCAUGCUCAAAAAGUUUAAGUGAAAUAUGUUUUUCAUACACAGGUUUAUGGCCAUCUGUAAUAGACAAUUGUCCUGUUUGAAACUGAAAACUGUUUGGCCGUGUGAUAUUAUCAGGGCUGGAAAGUUUGUCAAUAACAUCAAAUUACCAAUUAAUUUAACUAUACCAUACAUUACUUCUCUCAUAAAUAGCUAUUCUCGUUUAUUGCAACCCUCUAUAUGCAAAAAUAUAUAUAUUUAUGCAUGUCACAUAGGACACAUCCUUUUCAUUUUACCUGUUUUUAUAAUUUUUGGGAUAGAGUUACAUAAAUAUUAUAUGGUUUGGAUCACUAUCUGACCUUAGUUCUCUCUCACUUGAAUGUGCUCCUCAGUUUCCAUCCAUAUGUGCAACAUCUUUCUAUGAUGGGUGAAGAGUAUACCUGUUUCAGAAGUGGUGUAGUCCCCCACAUCAGAUCUUAGAAUCUGACUGUCUCCUCUUCAGGAGUGUCCUUCAGAUGCUUUUGAAGGAUACUUCUUUCCUUCUUUCUCUCGCACCGGUCCUUCCAACUAUUCAUGUGGGAUUCUAGCUAUUUAUGUGAGCGAAGGUAAUGUACCGUAUCAGAACUUAUAAUUUUCCUAUACUGAAAAUGUAUUUGUGAUAGAUACCUCCCUCACACUUCCCACCCU